This 427-nucleotide ribosomal RNA is filed under the name uncultured bacterium. RNAcentral describes it as "partial 16S ribosomal RNA". It matches the Rfam family "Bacterial small subunit ribosomal RNA", at positions 355 to 774 of the family's 1533-position model. The record is from RNAcentral.
UGGGGAAUAUUGCACAAUGGGCGCAAGCCUGAUGCAGCCAUGCCGCGUGUAUGAAGAAGGCCUUCGGGUUGUAAAGUACUUUCAGCGAGGAGGAAGGCGGUAAGGUUAAUAACCUUAUCGAUUGACGUUACUCGCAGAAGAAGCACCGGCUAACUCCGUGCCAGCAGCCGCGGUAAUACGGAGGGUGCAAGCGUUAAUCGGAAUUACUGGGCGUAAAGCGCACGCAGGCGGUCUGUCAAGUCGGAUGUGAAAUCCCCGGGCUCAACCUUGGAACUGCAUUCGAAACUGGCAGGCUAGAGUCUUGUAGAGGGGGGUAGAAUUCCAGGUGUAGCGGUGAAAUGCGUAGAGAUCUGGAGGAAUACCGGUGGCGAAGGCGGCCCCCUGGACAAAGACUGACGCUCAGGUGCGAAAGCGUGGGGAGCAAACA